Molecule: transfer RNA, 73 nt
Filed under: Petromyzon marinus (sea lamprey)
Lineage: Eukaryota; Metazoa; Chordata; Hyperoartia; Petromyzontiformes; Petromyzontidae
Description: tRNA-Tyr (GTA) (tRNA-Tyr-GTA-24-1)
Rfam family: tRNA
About the family: Transfer RNA (tRNA) molecules are approximately 80 nucleotides in length. Their secondary structure includes four short double-helical elements and three loops (D, anti-codon, and T loops). Further hydrogen bonds mediate the characteristic L-shaped molecular structure. tRNAs have two regions of fundamental functional importance: the anti-codon, which is responsible for specific mRNA codon recognition, and the 3' end, to which the tRNAs corresponding amino acid is attached (by aminoacyl-tRNA synthetases). tRNAs cope with the degeneracy of the genetic code in two manners: having more than one tRNA (with a specific anti-codon) for a particular amino acid; and 'wobble' base-pairing, i.e. permitting non-standard base-pairing at the 3rd anti-codon position.
Source: RNAcentral
CCUUCGAUAGCUCAGUUGGUAGAGUGGAGGACUGUAGAUCCUUAGGUCGCUUGUUCGGCUCCGGCUCGAAGGA